UUGGACAAUCUCGAGCUAUAUGCCCCUCCUGACCACAUCUAAAACAGGCUGUAGUCCCUAACCGACAAACUCCCUUGUGUGGUCUACCACACCUUGCACAAACUGCAUUAUCCGCACCAGAGCUUGAGCCACUUCCAAAUCCCAGACUAGACUUGACCUUGUUCCAGAACUUAUUCUUCUUACCCUUGGGCUUACCCCAUCUCUUACUGCCUGAAGCUGCUGCACUCAGGGUAGAGGGAUCUAAUCUUCCCCCACCCGGAGUUUUAGAACCGGAAGACUGUGCCACUG
Molecule: long non-coding RNA, 288 nt
Filed under: Manihot esculenta (cassava)
Lineage: Eukaryota; Viridiplantae; Streptophyta; Magnoliopsida; Malpighiales; Euphorbiaceae
Description: long non-coding RNA (MESC_LNC002651)
Source: RNAcentral